This is a long non-coding RNA of Drosophila obscura, 603 nucleotides long. RefSeq lists it as uncharacterized. The transcript has 3 exons. The record is from RefSeq and is a predicted model, not a curated record. NCBI's taxonomy places the organism in Eukaryota, Metazoa, Arthropoda, Insecta, Diptera, Drosophilidae.
AGCAAAAUUGCAUUGCAAAAUCUGUCAAAUAAAGCAAUAAAUAAAUUUACACGAUUCCAAAAUGGUGAAGGUAAAAAGAAUAAAAAGAGAAGGUCUAGGAAAAAACGAGCUCAUUUAUCAUCUAAACAAGGACGCAAACAUACGCAGUCGAGACCAAUAAAGAAAAAAUCCUCCAAGAUAUUAAAUAUAAAAGAUAUUUUUUCGAAAUCAAAAUGACCACCCAUAUAGAAUGUAUGAAAAGCGAAUUGGAUCUGUUUGAACCACAUCCCACACAAAGCUCUAUUCUGAGAACUGAAGAAGUUUCAUACAAUCCCAUAGCUUCAUUGGACAGUGCCUCUUCAAUUGAAUUCGAUUGCUUAGGAAAUGGUGAAACAUAUCGAGAUCUGUCAAGUGUUUACUUAAGACUUGUUGUACAACUAAGAAAAAAUGAUAAUGGAAGCAUUGAAGGAGACAAUGUUGGAGUAGUGAAUAAUAUUUUACAUUCAAUGUUCAGAAAUCGUAUUUGCAAACGAUUUUAAACUAUGGUAGUGACGCCACUGAAAGUCACUUAACCACUCAAGGCUAUUAUCCUAACUAUGUAAUAAGGUUGAACUUUUUGGAAAA